Molecule: ribosomal RNA, 457 nt
Filed under: Escherichia coli
Lineage: Bacteria; Pseudomonadati; Pseudomonadota; Gammaproteobacteria; Enterobacterales; Enterobacteriaceae
Description: bacterial SSU rRNA
Rfam family: Bacterial small subunit ribosomal RNA
Source: RNAcentral
AUUGAACGCUGGCGGCAGGCCUAACACAUGCAAGUCGAACGGUAACAGGAAACAGCUUGCUGUUUCGCUGACGAGUGGCGGACGGGUGAGUAAUGUCUGGGAAACUGCCUGAUGGAGGGGGAUAACUACUGGAAACGGUAGCUAAUACCGCAUAACGUCGCAAGACCAAAGAGGGGGACCUUCGGGCCUCUUGCCAUCGGAUGUGCCCAGAUGGGAUUAGCUAGUAGGUGGGGUAACGGCUCACCUAGGCGACGAUCCCUAGCUGGUCUGAGAGGAUGACCAGCCACACUGGAACUGAGACACGGUCCAGACUCCUACGGGAGGCAGCAGUGGGGAAUAUUGCACAAUGGGCGCAAGCCUGAUGCAGCCAUGCCGCGUGUAUGAAGGAGGCCUUCGGGUUGUAAAGUACUUUCAGCGGGGAGGAAGGGAGUAAAGUUAAUACCUUUGCUCAUUGACG